CGGAUCGUAAAGCUCUGUUGUUAGGGAAGAACAAGUACCGUUCGAAUAGGGCGGUACCUUGACGGUACCUAACCAGAAAGCCACGGCUAACUACGUGCCAGCAGCCGCGGUAAUACGUAGGUGGCAAGCGUUGUCCGGAAUUAUUGGGCGUAAAGGGCUCGCAGGCGGUUUCUUAAGUCUGAUGUGAAAGCCCCCGGCUCAACCGGGGAGGGUCAUUGGAAACUGGGGAACUUGAGUGCAGAAGAGGAGAGUGGAAUUCCACGUGUAGCGGUGAAAUGCGUAGAGAUGUGGAGGAACACCAGUGGCGAAGGCGACUCUCUGGUCUGUAACUGACGCUGAGG
RNAcentral lists this ribosomal RNA (341 nucleotides) under Bacillus subtilis. Its description in RNAcentral is "bacterial SSU rRNA". It matches the Rfam family "Bacterial small subunit ribosomal RNA", at positions 419 to 751 of the family's 1533-position model. Lineage: Bacteria; Bacillati; Bacillota; Bacilli; Caryophanales; Bacillaceae. The record is from RNAcentral.